AUCUAAUUGACAAGUCCCAAAAAUAGGACGAAAUGUGCGUCCUGGAU
RNAcentral lists this non-coding RNA (47 nucleotides) under Schistosoma mattheei. Lineage: Eukaryota; Metazoa; Platyhelminthes; Trematoda; Strigeidida; Schistosomatidae. The record is from RNAcentral.